This 253-nucleotide ribosomal RNA is filed under the name uncultured bacterium. RNAcentral's name for it is "partial 16S ribosomal RNA". It matches the Rfam family "Bacterial small subunit ribosomal RNA", at positions 524 to 776 of the family's 1533-position model. The record is from RNAcentral.
UACAUAGGUCUCAAGCGUUGUUCGGAUUCAUUGGGCGUAAAGGGUGCGUAGGCGGCGCGGUAAGUCGGGUGUGAAAUCUUGGAGCUUAACUCCGAAACUGCAUUCGAUACUGCCGUGCUUGAGGACUGGAGAGGAGACUGGAAUUUACGGUGUAGCGGUGAAAUGCGUAGAUAUCGUAAGGAAGACCAGUGGCGAAGGCGGGUCUCUGGACAGCUCCUGACGCUGAGGCACGAAGGCCAGGGGAGCAAACGGG